RNAcentral lists this ribosomal RNA (168 nucleotides) under Ecsenius namiyei (black combtooth blenny). RNAcentral's name for it is "partial 12S rRNA". Lineage: Eukaryota; Metazoa; Chordata; Actinopteri; Blenniiformes; Blenniidae. The record is from RNAcentral.
CACCGCGGUUAUACGAGAGGCCCUAGCUGACAGACCCCCGGCGUAAAGGGUGGUUAAUAAUUUAACAAACUAAAGCCGAAUUUUUUCAAAACUGUUAUACGCUCUUGAAAAAUAGAAGUCCACCUACGAAAGUGGCUUUAUAAAAUUGAACCCACGAAAGCUAAGAAA